AUUGAACGCUGGCGGCAGGCCUAACACAUGCAAGUCGAGCGGUAGCACAGAGAGCUUGCUCUCGGGUGACGAGCGGCGGACGGGUGAGUAAUGUCUGGGAAACUGCCUGAUGGAGGGGGAUAACUACUGGAAACGGUAGCUAAUACCGCAUAACGUCGCAAGACCAAAGAGGGGGAACUUCGGGCCUCUUGCCAUCAGAUGUGCCCAGAUGGGGUUAGCUAGUAGGUAGGGUAACGGCUCACCUAGGCGACGAUCCCUAGCUGGUCUGAGAGGAUGACCAGCCACACUGGAACUGAGACACGGUCCAGACUCCUACGGGAGGCAGCAGUGGGGAAUAUUGCACAAUGGGCGCAAGCCUGAUGCAGCCAUGCCGCGUGUAUGAAGAAGGCCUUCGGGUUGUAAAGUACUUUCAGCGGGGAGGAAGGCGAUAAGGUUAAUAACCUUGUCGAUUGACGUUACCCGCAGAAGAAGCACCGGCUAACUCCGUGCCAGCCGCCGCAGUAA
This 504-nucleotide ribosomal RNA is filed under the name uncultured bacterium. RNAcentral's name for it is "partial 16S ribosomal RNA". It matches the Rfam family "Bacterial small subunit ribosomal RNA", at positions 30 to 523 of the family's 1533-position model. The record is from RNAcentral.